UACGUAGGGGGCGAGCGUUGUCCGGAAUCAUUGGGCGUAAAGAGCUCGUAGGCGGUUCAGUAAGUCGGGUGUGAAAGCUCCGAGCUCAACUCGGAGAGGCCACUCGAUACUGCUGUGACUAGAAUCCAGUAGGGGAGUGUGGAACUCCUGGUGUAGCGGUGAAAUGCGCAGAUAUCAGGAAGAACACCAGCGGCGAAGGCGGCACUCUGGGCUGGUAUUGACGCUGAGGAGCGAAAGUGUGGGUAGCAAACAGG
RNAcentral lists this ribosomal RNA (254 nucleotides) under uncultured bacterium. RNAcentral describes it as "partial 16S ribosomal RNA". It matches the Rfam family "Bacterial small subunit ribosomal RNA", at positions 524 to 776 of the family's 1533-position model. The record is from RNAcentral.